This 254-nucleotide ribosomal RNA is filed under the name uncultured bacterium. RNAcentral describes it as "partial 16S ribosomal RNA". It matches the Rfam family "Bacterial small subunit ribosomal RNA", at positions 524 to 776 of the family's 1533-position model. The record is from RNAcentral.
CACGUAGGGGGCAAGCGUUGUCCGGAUUUAUUGGGCGUAAAGAGCUCGUAGGCGGCUUAGUAAGUCGGGUGUGAAACCUCCAGGCUCAACCUGGAGACGCCACCCGAUACUGCUGUGGCUAGAGUCCGGUAGGGGAGCGUGGAAUUCCUGGUGUAGCGGUGAAAUGCGCAGAUAUCGGGAGGAACACCAGUGGCGAAGGCGACUUCUUGGCCUGUUCUUGACGCUGAGGCGCGAAAGCUGGGGGAGCAAACGGG